RNAcentral lists this unclassified non-coding RNA (203 nucleotides) under soil metagenome. Its description in RNAcentral is "partial contains 5.8S ribosomal RNA, internal transcribed spacer 2, and large subunit ribosomal RNA". The record is from RNAcentral.
AACGCACGAGACCUGCGGACCUGCGGAAGGAUCAUUACCGAGUUUACAACUCCCAAACCCCUGUGAACAUACCACUCGUUGCCUCGGCGGAUCACCGCGCCCCGUGAAACGGGCCGGCCCGCCAGAGGACCUAAACUCAAAUGUUUUAUUGUAUCUUCUGAGUAAAAACACAAAUAAAUCAAAACUUUUAGCAAUGGAUCUCU